This 774-nucleotide transfer RNA is filed under the name uncultured cyanobacterium. RNAcentral's name for it is "partial contains 16S ribosomal RNA, 16S-23S ribosomal RNA intergenic spacer, and 23S ribosomal RNA". The stretch from base 268 to 340 matches the Rfam family "tRNA". Lineage: Bacteria; Bacillati; Cyanobacteriota. The record is from RNAcentral.
CAGGGAGACAACACAAUGAUUUUGAUGCCUGAGUGCUUUUAUUCUUAGGCCGAAAUCCUGUCACCUUAGGUCGAUCGGUACCUCAGCUUUGAAGUCAAGGAUCAGCAGCAAUGUUGAUUGCUUGAUGGAGAUUUUCAGUUCCUAAACUUUGUCUAGGUCACACCCCAAAAGGGAUGAGACUCCUGGGCCAUUAGCUCAGGUGGUUAGAGCGCACCCCUGGUAAGGGUGAGGUCCCUGGUUCAAGUCCAGGAUGGCCCAUUCGGUGUUGGGGGUUUAGCUCAGUUGGUAGAGCGCCUGCUUUGCAAGCAGGAUGUCAGGAGUUCGAGUCUCCUAACCUCCACUGACCGAACUUGAUUCCCAUCUCCAAUUUUUUGGAGUUGAGCUCGAUUGGAGUGUGACUUAGAUGUGUCCGCUGGAUGACCCCAGCUUCCUGUCAUUCCAAGUUUUAGGUUGAUACCUUGAAUUUGGUUGAUAAGAUGCUGGGCUCGGAUCAAAUGAUCAAGCAAUUGAUGAUUUGAUUUGAAGUUCUAGCAGAACCUUGACAACUGCAUAGGUGAGUCUGGAAAAAACAAAGCAUCUUACAGAUGCAUUGUUUUGAAUCUGAUCUUCUGAAAGGGAGAUUGGAUCUAGAACAAUGAAAAUUCUUUUGAGCAAGAGCCGAGACUCUUGAACGUUCUUUGAUUGGUGUCGAGCCAAUCAGAGUUUGAUCUUGUUUUUAGCAAUAAAAACUUGAGAAUCUGCUUUCAACGGCGGUAAGCGUUCAAGAGGUUAAUU